RNAcentral lists this ribosomal RNA (287 nucleotides) under uncultured bacterium. Its description in RNAcentral is "partial 16S ribosomal RNA". It matches the Rfam family "Bacterial small subunit ribosomal RNA", at positions 59 to 339 of the family's 1533-position model. The record is from RNAcentral.
AAGUCGAGGGGCAGCAUGAUUGAAGCUUGCUUCAAUUGAUGGCGACCGGCGGAAGGGUGCGUAACGCGUGAGCGACAUGCCCGUUGCCCGGGGACAACCGGUGGAAACGCCGACUAAUCCCCGAUGGGACGGAGGCCCUCAUGGGUCUCUGUUGAAAGUUACGGCGGCGACGGAUUGGCUCGCGUCCGAUUAGCUGGUUGGCGGGGUAACGGCCCACCAAGGCUACGAUCGGUAGGGGUUCUGAGAGGAAGGUCCCCACAAUGGAACUGAGACACGGUCCAUACUCC